UGGGGAAUAUUGGACAAUGGGCGCAAGCCUGAUCCAGCCAUGCCGCGUGAGUGAUGAAGGCCUUAGGGUUGUAAAGCUCUUUUGCCAGGGAAGAUAAUGACUGUACCUGGAGAAUAAGCCCCGGCUAACUUCGUGCCAGCAGCCGCGGUAAUACGAAGGGGGCUAGCGUUGUUCGGAAUCACUGGGCGUAAAGCGCACGUAGGCGGACUCUUAAGUCAGGGGUGAAAGCCUGAGGCUCAACCUCAGAACUGCCCUUGAUACUGGGAGUCUUGAGUAUGGUAGAGGUUGGUGGAACAGCAAGUGUAGAGGUGAAAUUCGUAGAUAUUUGCUAGAACACCAGUGGCGAAGGCGGCCAACUGGACCAUAACUGACGCUGAGGUGCGAAAGCGUGGGGAGCAAA
This 400-nucleotide ribosomal RNA is filed under the name uncultured bacterium. RNAcentral's name for it is "bacterial SSU rRNA". It matches the Rfam family "Bacterial small subunit ribosomal RNA", at positions 355 to 772 of the family's 1533-position model. The record is from RNAcentral.